ACUUGUCUUCUAAAUAAAGACCAGUAUGAACGGCUAAAUGAGGACAAACCUGUCUCCUACAACAAAUCAGUGAAACUGAUCUCCCAGUACAAAAGCUGGUAUAAACACAUAAGACGAGAAGACCCUGUGGAGCUUAAAAAUAAGCGUUCAACAAACAUCACCAAAAUAACAAUGACCGUAUAUUUUAAGUUGGGGCGACUUCGGAAAAAAACAAAACUUCCGAGAAAAGGGCCACCUAGCCCACCCUAGGGAUACAACCCUAAAGCACGAACGUGAUUUAGACCCAGUCAAACUGAUUAACGAACCAAGUUACCCCAGGGAUAACAGCGCCAUCUUCUUCAAGAGUCCAUAUCGACAAGAAGGUUUACGACCUCGAUGUUGGAUCAGGACACCCAAAUGGUGCAGCAGCUAUUAAAGGUUCGUUUGUUCAACGAUUAACAGUCCUACGUGAUC
RNAcentral lists this ribosomal RNA (453 nucleotides) under Acontias meleagris meleagris. Its description in RNAcentral is "partial 16S ribosomal RNA". It matches the Rfam family "Bacterial large subunit ribosomal RNA", at positions 1967 to 2605 of the family's 2925-position model. Lineage: Eukaryota; Metazoa; Chordata; Lepidosauria; Squamata; Scincidae. The record is from RNAcentral.